RNAcentral lists this ribosomal RNA (310 nucleotides) under uncultured bacterium. RNAcentral describes it as "bacterial SSU rRNA". It matches the Rfam family "Bacterial small subunit ribosomal RNA", at positions 28 to 334 of the family's 1533-position model. The record is from RNAcentral.
GAUGAACGCUAGCGGCAGGCCUAACACAUGCAAGUCGAACGGUAACAGAGAAAAGCUUGCUUUGUUUGAUGGCGACCGGCGCACGGGUGAGUAACGCGUAUCCGACCUGCCCAUGACUCGGGCACAGCCGCUCGAAAGAGCGAUUGAUUCCCGAUAUGUCUAUGAAGUAGAUUCCUGGAUGAAAGAUUUAUCGGUCAUGGAUGGGGAUGCGUAGGAUUAGGUAGUAGGCGGGGUAACGGCCCACCUAGCCGACGAUCCUUAGGGGUUCUGAGAGGAAGGUCCCCCACACUGGUACUGAGACACGGACCAG